Long non-coding RNA from Oreochromis niloticus (Nile tilapia), 746 nucleotides. RefSeq lists it as uncharacterized. The record is from RefSeq and is a predicted model, not a curated record. Lineage: Eukaryota; Metazoa; Chordata; Actinopteri; Cichliformes; Cichlidae. The transcript is spliced from 2 exons.
AUAGGGUGGCGUUUAGGUGGACCUUAAGCAACUGCUUCAGGAGACAAAAUGUGAGUGGAAAAGAUACAUACAAACACGAGACCUGACCAGCUUGAGAACCAUGACAGAAGAACCCAGGAACCACCAAAGCUCCAGCCUGCCAUGAACUGUAAACUGCUGGAACACCAGCGUCACUGUCCACAGGACUGUCCAAGCUCCUACCACCAGAAUGAGUGUGUGUUAGGCCACAACUGUUUCAUUACAAAACCACACUCCAUAGGAAAGGAAAGGUUGAUCGUUACAGUCAGAAAAGACUAUGUUUAACCUUCCCUCCACUCCAUUUCUGAUGCUCAGAAAUGGCAGCCUUUUCCUUCCUGUCGCCGCUCAUCCUUGGAGCAGAAAUGCCAGCGAACACUGAGAGGGCUCUCUCUGUACCUCCGUCCCUCUGACCUCCAAGAAGUUGAAAGAGAGACGAUGCAGAGCUCGGAGUCAGAGUGGAGGAUGAUGGAAAUCUCUAAGCAGCGUAAUGGUAUUGACCUCCUCUACAGAAAGAAAACAAAUAUCUGCCAGGAUUGUAUAUUGUAUGUGGCCUCUGCUAACCCAUACUGUAUAGGUCUGAGAACUGGGAAUUGGUUCCAGUUAAAAUCCAAAUUGUCCAUUCUAUAGGAAUUAAAAGCCUCCAAGCUUAUCAGUUCUUCCUAUCAAUGCCGGCAUACUUGCACCUUUAUUUACUCUGUUACUCUGCAACCUUACAGAAGUCAAUGAAG